RNAcentral lists this ribosomal RNA (393 nucleotides) under uncultured bacterium. RNAcentral's name for it is "partial 16S ribosomal RNA". It matches the Rfam family "Bacterial small subunit ribosomal RNA", at positions 523 to 918 of the family's 1533-position model. The record is from RNAcentral.
AUACGGAGGAUGCAAGCGUUAUCCGGAUUUAUUGGGUUUAAAGGGUGCGUAGGCUGUUCGGAAAGUCAGGGGUGAAAGCCCUGCGCCUAACGCCGGAACUGCCUUCUAUACUUCCGAGCUGGAAUACGGAUGCCGUGGGAGGAAUGAGUAGCGUAGCGGUGAAAUGCAGAGAUAUUACUCAGAACACCGAUUGCGAAGGCAUCUCACGAAUCCGUCAUUGACGCUGAGGCACGAAAGCGUGGGGAUCAAACAGGAUUAGAUACCCUGGUAGUCCACGCAGUAAACGAUGAUGACUAACCGUCGGCGAUACACAGUCGGUGGCCAAGCGAAAGCGAUAAGUCAUCCACCUGGGGAGUACGUUCGCAAGAAUGAAACUCAAAGGAAUUGACGGGG